UACCGCUCAAACCCUCCGUGGUGUCUACGGCCUGGCGUGGCCGUGGCCUCCUUUGACUGGACGCAAUAGUUCUUGGUUUUGGCAGCCAUCGAGACACCUGUCCCCACUUAUACAGCGUGGUCGAGCCGCGGCCUUCGAGGCUCACACCCUCUAAUCCUCUGAGUAGCUGCGCCGUAUGGCUUGGCCAGAGUGGUACGUACACGGGUUUGUUAUUCUUUAAAGGAAUAAUUCAGUUAUUAUUAUUAUUAUGAAAUCUGUUUAUGUGACUUUUUUUGUGGAGUCCCGGCUACUGCUUGGCCUGCCACUGGCUACCACUCCCUGGAUGCACCGCUGUUCUUUGUAGUGUACUGUUCUUUGUAGUUCACGGUUCUUUGUAGUGUGCUGUUCUUUUGUACGCUGCUGUUCUGCUGUUCUUCUGUGCCGUUCUGUGCCUUGAGGUUCUGCGCUGUGCUGGAUCGGAUAGAGGCGCUCGUUAUUGAAGAGUCCUGAGCUUGUCCACUCUGCAGAGGCCGUCAGCCUAUUUUAAAUCGUUAUUUCUUUGUUUUCUUAACAUUAUUUUCAUUGAGUUAUUGAGGUAGCAGUUAUUUUUGUUUGUAUUCAUUAACGUUAAUUGUUAGUAACUUUAUUUGUUUUUUGACUUUUGUUAUUUGGAUUUAUUUUCAAUUGGUUUUUGAUUAUUUCAUCAGCACUAAGGAUGUGUAGCGUUUGGCCAGUUUUUAAUGUUCUCUCUUUGUCAAACAGGUGCUGAGGGCCUGAGGCGGCAGUUUUAUGGUAGUUAAUCCUUUAGUGCUUGGCAUGUAGUUUUCUUUUUAACGUUUCAAUUUUGUUGUUAAUUAUUUUUGUUAAAUAAAGUUCUUGUUUCUAAAAUA
Molecule: long non-coding RNA, 869 nt
Organism: Toxotes jaculatrix (banded archerfish)
Lineage: Eukaryota; Metazoa; Chordata; Actinopteri; Toxotidae
Exons: 2
Source: RefSeq, a predicted model, not a curated record